CAUGCAGUCGAACGCUGAAGCUUGGUGCUUGCACUGGGUGGAUGAGUGGCGAACGGGUGAGUAAUACGUGAGUAACCUGCCCUUGACUCUGGGAUAAGCCUGGGAAACUGGGUCUAAUACUGGAUACGACAUGUCACCGCAUGGUGGUGUGUGGAAAGGGUUUUACUGGUUUUGGAUGGGCUCACGGCCUAUCAGCUUGUUGGUGGGGUAAUGGCUCACCAAGGCGACGACGGGUAGCCGGCCUGAGAGGGUGACCGGCCACACUGGGACUGAGACACGGCCCAGACUCCUACGGGAGGCAGCAGUGGGGAAUAUUGCACAAUGGGCGAAAGCCUGAUGCAGCGACGCCGCGUGAGGGAUGACGGCCUUCGGGUUGUAAACCUCUUUCAGCACGGAAGAAGCGAAAGUGACGGUACGUGCAGAAGAAGCGCCGGCUAACUACGUGCCAGCAGCCGCGGUAAUACGUAGGGCGCAAGCGUUGUCCGGAAUUAUUGGGCGUAAAGAGCUCGUAGGCGGUUUGUCGCGUCUGCUGUGAAAGCCCGGGGCUUAACCCCGGGUGUGCAGUGGGUACGGGCAGACUUGAGUGCAGUAGGGGAGACUGGAAUUCCUGGUGUAGCGGUGAAAUGCGCAGAUAUCAGGAGGAACACCGAUGGCGAACGCAGGUCUCUGGGCUGUUACUGACGCUGAUGAGCGAAAGCAUGGGGAGCGAACAGGAUUAGAUACCCUGGUAGUCCAUGCCGUAAACGUUGGGCACUAGGUGUGGGGAACAUUCCACGUUUUCCGCGCCGUAGCUAACGCAUUAAGUGCCCCGCCUGGGGGAGUACGGCCGCAAGGCUAAAACUCAAAUGAAUUGACGGGGGCCCGCACAAACGGCGGAGCAUGCGGAUUAAUUCGAUGCAACGCGGAAGAACCUUACCAAAGGCUUGACAUACACCGGAACCGGGCC
RNAcentral lists this ribosomal RNA (946 nucleotides) under Kocuria rhizophila. RNAcentral's name for it is "bacterial SSU rRNA". It matches the Rfam family "Bacterial small subunit ribosomal RNA", at positions 54 to 1002 of the family's 1533-position model. Lineage: Bacteria; Bacillati; Actinomycetota; Actinomycetes; Micrococcales; Micrococcaceae. The record is from RNAcentral.